RNAcentral lists this ribosomal RNA (570 nucleotides) under Erythrobacter sp. RNAcentral describes it as "bacterial SSU rRNA". It matches the Rfam family "Bacterial small subunit ribosomal RNA", at positions 94 to 699 of the family's 1533-position model. The record is from RNAcentral. Lineage: Bacteria; Pseudomonadati; Pseudomonadota; Alphaproteobacteria; Sphingomonadales; Erythrobacteraceae.
AGUGGCGCACGGGUGCGUAACGCGUGGGAACCUGCCCUUAGGUUCGGAAUAACUCAGAGAAAUUUGAGCUAAUACCGGAUAAUGUCUUCGGACCAAAAAUUUAUCGCCUUUGGAUGGGCCCGCGUAGGAUUAGAUAGUUGGUGGGGUAAUGGCCUACCAAGUCGACGAUCCUUAGCUGGUCUGAGAGGAUGAUCAGCCACACUGGGACUGAGACACGGCCCAGACUCCUACGGGAGGCAGCAGUGGGGAAUAUUGGACAAUGGGCGAAAGCCUGAUCCAGCAAUGCCGCGUGAGUGAUGAAGGCCUUAGGGUUGUAAAGCUCUUUUACCAGGGAUGAUAAUGACAGUACCUGGAGAAUAAGCUCCGGCUAACUCCGUGCCAGCAGCCGCGGUAAUACGGAGGGAGCUAGCGUUGUUCGGAAUUACUGGGCGUAAAGCGCACGUAGGCGGCUUUUCAAGUCAGGGGUGAAAUCCCGGGGCUCAACCCCGGAACUGCCCUUGAAACUGGAUGGCUAGAAUACUGGAGAGGUGAGUGGAAUUCCGAGUGUAGAGGUGAAAUUCGUANAUAUUC